This is a long non-coding RNA of Papaver somniferum (opium poppy), 1384 nucleotides long. RefSeq lists it as uncharacterized. The transcript has 8 exons. NCBI's taxonomy places the organism in Eukaryota, Viridiplantae, Streptophyta, Magnoliopsida, Ranunculales, Papaveraceae. The record is from RefSeq and is a predicted model, not a curated record.
AAAACGAGGCUUCGUUUUCUCCUCAGCUUUUCUUCUUCUUUCCUUGACUGAGAUCUGAAACAUAUCGAUCCUCGUACAGAAAUUAAAAGCUAUCUUUCUUAAAUCCUCAUCUCAUAAAUCAAAACCAAUAUUUCAGAAAUGGAAUUAACCCAAUCUUUCAAUAACCCAGAUUUCUAAUUAAACUCUAAAAUGUGAUUUUUCUUUUCCAUUAACCCUAGCAAACAUAUAUCCAGAGAUGAAUUUUAACCAUUCGAAAGAGACGAGUAUAUCAAGUAAUAUCCUAUUCGUUAUUUUUGAUUCCGUGGGUCUAGUAGAUUCAGUGAUUUUCGAUCUACUUUUGGAUUCUUAAGCUUGUUGCUGUUGCUGUAAGCUUUCCACCUUGAGACUAAUAGAGAAUUAGAAGUUGGUCCUCAGUUUUCUUUCAAAGAAUAUCUUGAAAAAGUUAAUGAUGAUGAGAGUUUGAGGAGAUGGAAGGAACAACUUCUGGAUCUGUUGGUUAUCAUGUUGUUGGAGUGGAGAUUUGAAAUCUCACAAUUUUGUCACCUGGCCAACCUAAACUUGUCUUACCGAUCCCAUUUAAACCGAAUGCAAAAGGGUGGAGAUUUAAACUAUUUGGCAGAAUUUGGUGGAAAUUUUUCAUUCUUAGAGGUUCAUCGCAGUGAUGGAGAUGUUGUUGCUGGUAGAGAUUGGCUGCAAGUUUUAGCAGUUAGUGGUUGUUUGAUGGUGAAACUGGUGGUUCUGCAGCUGUUCAUGUUGUUGGUGGUAGCUUCAGUGAUGGUGGAUGGACCUGAUCUUAGUGGUGCAGCCAUUGCUACUUUAAUCAUCAACUUAUGACAGGAAUCACUAUCCUGGCUAUAUGAAAUCGAUGCAGGGGAUGAAAAUGCCACUAGAUUAAUGUACUUUACAUUCUAAAGUUGAAGUAUUGGGAACUGUCUUUCCAUUUGCUUUAGAAAUCAAGAUGUUAAAUGCCUGCUUGUUUACAACCUGUUGUCGAGAUAAUAAACCUCACACGCAACAAAGAAGGAAAUUGAUGUGCGGAAGAGUAUAUCGUGAAGCAGAUGAAGAUAAAGUUGGAUCAAUCAAUGGAAAUGGACAUGGAGAAUUUUUGUAUAUGCAAAGGGAUUACAAGAUGCGUUCAUAUUCAUUCAACUCUGUUUCAGCGCACUUCCUGAGAGAGCAGAUGAUUCUUUUUAUUUUCUUAUUCAUUCAACUCUGUUUCAGCGCACUUCCUGAGAGAGCAGAUGAUUCUUUUUAUUUUCUUUCUCAUACAGCAUAUCACUAAGAAAUAUAUUUUUGUUCACUGAUACGUUAUCACCUAUAUUUUUUAAUUCACUUGAGCUUGUUUCUCAGGAGGAGAAAUUAACUUAACAUUGGAUUUGCUGAA